RNAcentral lists this non-coding RNA (72 nucleotides) under unclassified sequences. RNAcentral's name for it is "DUF3800-X RNA". It matches the Rfam family "DUF3800-X RNA". The record is from Rfam by way of RNAcentral.
UAGUGAGUAAGUCCCGUUCGAACCUAUGAUGCCUGUGUUUUCAGGAUGGGAGAAGUAGAGCGGGGAUCACGG